GACGUAGGGGGCGAGCGUUGUCCGGAUUUAUUGGGCGUAAAGCGUGCGUAGGCGGCUGCGCAAGUCGGUUGUGAAACCCCGGGGCUCAACCCCGGAACUGCAUCCGAUACUGCGUGGCUAGAGGUAGGUAGGGGAGAUCGGAAUUCCUGGUGUAGCGGUGAAAUGCGCAGAUAUCAGGAGGAACACCGGUGGCGAAGGCGGAUCUCUGGGCCGAUAUUGACGCUGAGGAGCGAAAGCGUGGGGAGCGAACAGG
Molecule: ribosomal RNA, 253 nt
Filed under: uncultured bacterium
Lineage: Bacteria
Description: partial 16S ribosomal RNA
Rfam family: Bacterial small subunit ribosomal RNA
Source: RNAcentral